Molecule: ribosomal RNA, 327 nt
Filed under: uncultured eukaryote
Lineage: Eukaryota
Description: partial 18S ribosomal RNA
Rfam family: Eukaryotic small subunit ribosomal RNA
Source: RNAcentral
CCCUUAGAUGUUCUGGGCCGCACACGCGCUACACUGAAGGAGGCAGCGUGUACUCCUGGAUCGAAAGAUUUGGGUAACCCGCGAAUCACCUUCGUGCUAGGGAUUGAGGUUUGCAAUUAUCCUUCAUGAACGAGGAAUUCCCAGUAAGUGCAAGUCAUAAGCUUGCGCUGACUACGUCCCUGCCCUUUGUACACACCGCCCGUCGCUACUACCGAUUGAAUGAUUUAGUGAGGACUUCGGACUGGGACCGAUGCGGCUUUCGGGCUGCGUCGGUAUUCUGGAAAGAUGUCCAAACUGUAUCAUUUAGAGGAAGUAAAAGUCGUAACA